Molecule: ribosomal RNA, 177 nt
Filed under: uncultured bacterium
Lineage: Bacteria
Description: partial 16S ribosomal RNA
Rfam family: Bacterial small subunit ribosomal RNA
Source: RNAcentral
GGACUGCUAAUACCCGAUAGUUCUAUAUGCUUUCGGGCAUAUGGAUAAAUGGUGAUUCCGCUCGAGGAGGGGUCCAUGUCCUAUCAGCUUGUUGGUGAGGUAACGGCUCACCAAGGCGAUGACGGGUAGCCGGACUGAGAGGUUGGCCGGUCACACUGGGACUGAGACACUGCCCAG